GGUCUCUGGAAAGACAGGCAGGUCACUCACUGAUGAGUGAGCAUGUGCUGGGUCUAUAAUGCCACCUGAAUCACUUCAUGACCUCAUGAUGCUGAGGAGGACAAGAACCUAGGGCCACCCCCACAUAACCAGCCCACCGCAGAGCAGCCUGCACCAUCGCAGAGGCCCCUACGUGCAGAAAGAGGAACGGCCAGUUUGCUGCAAUGACUCAGCCACAAAAAUCUCACCGUUCUCCGGAGAGCCCACACAUCCCUGGCAGCAACAGUCAGUGGUUACAGUUUUGCACCCAUUUCUCAAGUGCCUCGACUUGUGAGCUUUACCUGAGAAAGACCUUACUCUUCUGUGCAAGUCACAGCCCUCAGUGUCAUGGAGCCUGGAACUGGCCAAGUCAGGUAGUCAAUCAACAAACACACAUCAGUGUCAAAUAGGUACCAACCUCAGGCAGAGAUGAAGUUGCAAUAGAGCAGCAGGCUGAGCACCAGGCAAGCAGAUCCCAGCCAGCCCUGUAUGUUCCAGCCACUCGAGGCAUGUGGCUGGCUGACUGCUCCUCUCUGUAAAGGGGAAUGGUGGUCACCUAGGCCUGUUCCUGCUGCACCCAUCCCUCUGUCUGGUGAGCACCCUGACCCUCAGAGACGCACCAAAUGAACUUGGAGGUUCUCAGCCCCUAGGAUACAGAAACACACAUGCUUGCCAAGAUCCCACCCUCCGUGGAGGACGCAAUCCAGAAAAACCACUGAAGAAGGAAGUUUGGUGACAGCUUUAACAGACCAAGCACAUCUAGGGGAGAAAGAGGAAGGGGAAUCGGGACAGAGGAACAGCACAGACAAAAACACAGAGGUCUGAAAAUACAAGCUGAACUUCAAGGAUGGCUCAGGGCCUGGCCCCUGAGUGCCACAGGCAGGCAGGGAAGUCUGGACAGCCGUCAGGGUAGCAGUGGAAGCUGGGGAUUCGAAUUAUGAUGUCCUGACCCAGGAGGGCCAGCCCCUCUAUAACUAGGUCCUGCUAAUGGUUGGGCCAUUGAGCUAAAGGUCCCCACCUGCCCCCAGAGAAACUGCACCCCACCCUCCCCAAAAAAACACCAAACACUG
Molecule: long non-coding RNA, 1088 nt
Organism: Mus musculus (house mouse)
Lineage: Eukaryota; Metazoa; Chordata; Mammalia; Rodentia; Muridae
Product: predicted gene, 52742
Exons: 2
Source: RefSeq, a predicted model, not a curated record